This 253-nucleotide ribosomal RNA is filed under the name uncultured bacterium. RNAcentral describes it as "partial 16S ribosomal RNA". It matches the Rfam family "Bacterial small subunit ribosomal RNA", at positions 524 to 776 of the family's 1533-position model. The record is from RNAcentral.
UACGUAGGGUACGAGCGUUGUCCGGAAUUACUGGGCGUAAAGAGCUCGUAGGUGGUUUGUCGCGUUGUUCGUGAAAUCUCACGGCUUAACUGUGAGCGUGCGGGCGAUACGGGCAGACUAGAGUACUGCAGGGGAGACUGGAAUUCCUGGUGUAGCGGUGGAAUGCGCAGAUAUCAGGAGGAACACCGGUGGCGAAGGCGGGUCUCUGGGCAGUAACUGACGCUGAGGAGCGAAAGCGUGGGGAGCGAACAGG